This 425-nucleotide ribosomal RNA is filed under the name uncultured rumen bacterium. Its description in RNAcentral is "bacterial SSU rRNA". It matches the Rfam family "Bacterial small subunit ribosomal RNA", at positions 354 to 776 of the family's 1533-position model. The record is from RNAcentral.
GUGGGGAAUAUUGGUCAAUGGGCGCAAGCCUGAACCAGCCAUGCCGCGUGAAGGAAUAAGGCCCUAUGGGUCGUAAACUUCUUUUGUGGUGGAGCAAUAAGGUGCACGUGUGCAUCGAUGAGAGUACAUCACGAAUAAGCAUCGGCUAACUCCGUGCCAGCAGCCGCGGUAAUACGGAGGAUGCAAGCGUUAUCCGGAUUUAUUGGGUUUAAAGGGUGCGUAGGCUGUUCGACAAGUCAGGGGUGAAAGCCCAGUGCCUAACACUGGAACUGCCUUUGAUACUGCCGAGCUGGAAUACGGAUGCCGUGGGAGGAAUGAGUAGUGUAGCGGUGAAAUGCAUAGAUAUUACUCAGAACACCGAUUGCGAAGGCAUCUCACGAAUCCGUCAUUGACGCUGAGGCACGAAAGCGUGGGGAUCAAACAGG